RNAcentral lists this transfer RNA (71 nucleotides) under Heliconius melpomene (postman butterfly). Its description in RNAcentral is "tRNA-Gly for anticodon GCC". It matches the Rfam family "tRNA". From Rfam's summary of the family: Transfer RNA (tRNA) molecules are approximately 80 nucleotides in length. Their secondary structure includes four short double-helical elements and three loops (D, anti-codon, and T loops). Further hydrogen bonds mediate the characteristic L-shaped molecular structure. tRNAs have two regions of fundamental functional importance: the anti-codon, which is responsible for specific mRNA codon recognition, and the 3' end, to which the tRNAs corresponding amino acid is attached (by aminoacyl-tRNA synthetases). tRNAs cope with the degeneracy of the genetic code in two manners: having more than one tRNA (with a specific anti-codon) for a particular amino acid; and 'wobble' base-pairing, i.e. permitting non-standard base-pairing at the 3rd anti-codon position. The record is from RNAcentral. Lineage: Eukaryota; Metazoa; Arthropoda; Insecta; Lepidoptera; Nymphalidae.
GCAUCGGUGGUUCAGCGGUAGAAUGCUUGCCUGCCACGCGGGUGGCCCGGGUUCGAUUCCCGGCCGAUGCA